UACGGAGGGUGCAAGCGUUAUCCGGAUUCACUGGGUUUAAAGGGAGCGCAGGCGGGCAUGUAAGUCCGUGGUGAAAUACCUCAGCUUAACUGAGGAACUGCCAUGGAUACUAUAUGUCUUGAAUGUUGUGGAGGUUUGCGGAAUAGGUCAUGUAGCGGUGAAAUGCAUAGAUAUGACCUAGAACACCAAUUGCGAAGGCAGCAGGCUACACAGAUAUUGACGCUGAGGCUCGAAAGCGUGGGGAUCAAACAGG
Molecule: ribosomal RNA, 253 nt
Filed under: uncultured Chitinophaga sp.
Lineage: Bacteria; Pseudomonadati; Bacteroidota; Chitinophagia; Chitinophagales; Chitinophagaceae
Description: partial 16S ribosomal RNA
Rfam family: Bacterial small subunit ribosomal RNA
Source: RNAcentral